RNAcentral lists this ribosomal RNA (292 nucleotides) under uncultured bacterium. RNAcentral's name for it is "partial 16S ribosomal RNA". It matches the Rfam family "Bacterial small subunit ribosomal RNA", at positions 505 to 796 of the family's 1533-position model. The record is from RNAcentral.
GUGCCAGCAGCCGCGGUAAUACGUAGGGGGCAAGCGUUGUCCGGAUUUACUGGGCGUAAAGAGCGUGUAGGCGGCCAGACAGGUCCGUUGUGAAAACUGGAGGCUCAACCUUCAGACGUCGACGGAAACCGUCUGGCUAGAGUCCGGAAGAGGAGAGUGGAAUUCCUGGUGUAGCGGUGAAAUGCGCAGAUAUCAGGAAGAACACCGAUGGCGAAGGCAGCUCUCUGGGACGGUACUGACGCUGAGACGCGAAAGCGUGGGGAGCGAACAGGAUUAGAUACCCGGGUAGUCC